AUUAUAGCUCAGACGGUAGAGCACUACAUUGGUAAUGUAGAGGUCGCGGGUUCAAGUCCCGCUAAU
This 66-nucleotide transfer RNA is filed under the name human gut metagenome. It matches the Rfam family "tRNA". From Rfam's summary of the family: Transfer RNA (tRNA) molecules are approximately 80 nucleotides in length. Their secondary structure includes four short double-helical elements and three loops (D, anti-codon, and T loops). The record is from RNAcentral.